GCCGGCGUAGCUCAACUGGCAGAGCGCCCGCCUUGUAAGCGGAAGGUUCGGGGUUCGAGUCCCCGCGUCGGCU
This 73-nucleotide transfer RNA is filed under the name Pseudonocardiaceae bacterium. RNAcentral's name for it is "tRNA-Thr". It matches the Rfam family "tRNA". Rfam says of the family: Transfer RNA (tRNA) molecules are approximately 80 nucleotides in length. Lineage: Bacteria; Bacillati; Actinomycetota; Actinomycetes; Pseudonocardiales; Pseudonocardiaceae. RNAcentral also lists the same sequence under 2 other names. The record is from RNAcentral.